GGCCCGGCCCCCGCCCUCCGCACACACCUCCCACCCCCACCUGGGACCCCGCAAGUAACCCCCCACACUGGCCCUGGGCCCUCCCGGCCCCCGCCUCCGGCGCAGCCCCCUCGCCACCCCCGCUUCCCUCCCGUCUCGGGCCCCCUCCCCCCGCCGCCCCCGCCCCCGGGGAAGGCAGGCGCCGAGCUGAGCCGGGGCCGAUGCAGCUGAGCCGCGCCGCCGCCGCCGCCGCCGCCGCCCCUGCGGAGCCCCCGGAGCCGCUGUCCCCCGCGCCGGCCCCGGCCCCGGCCCCCCCCGGCCCCCUCCCGCGCAGCGCGGCCGACGGGGCUCCGGCGGGGGGGAAGGGGGGGCCGGGGCGCCGCGCGGAGUCCCCGGGCGCUCCGUUCCCCGGCGCGAGCGGCCCCGGCCCGGGCCCCGGCGCGGGGAUGGACGGCCCCGGGGCCAGCGCCGUGGUCGUGCGCGUCGGCAUCCCGGACCUGCAGCAGACGAAGUGCCUGCGCCUGGACCCGGCCGCGCCCGUGUGGGCCGCCAAGCAGCGCGUGCUCUGCGCCCUCAACCACAGCCUCCAGGACGCGCUCAACUAUGGGCUUUUCCAGCCGCCCUCCCGGGGCCGCGCCGGCAAGUUCCUGGAUGAGGAGCGGCUCCUGCAGGAGUACCCGCCCAACCUGGACACGCCCCUGCCCUACCUGGAGUUUCGAUACAAGCGGCGAGUUUAUGCCCAGAACCUCAUCGAUGAUAAGCAGUUUGCAAAGCUUCACACAAAGGCGAACCUGAAGAAGUUCAUGGACUAUGUCCAGCUGCAUAGCACGGACAAGGUGGCCCGCCUGCUGGACAAGGGGCUGGACCCCAACUUCCAUGACCCUGACUCAGGAGAGUGCCCCCUGAGCCUCGCAGCCCAGCUGGAUAACGCCACGGACCUGCUAAAGGUGCUGAAGAAUGGCGGCGCCCACCUGGACUUCCGCACUCGCGACGGGCUCACUGCUGUGCACUGUGCCACGCGCCAGCGGAAUGCGGCAGCACUGACGACCCUGCUGGACCUGGGGGCUUCACCUGACUACAAGGACAGCCGUGGCUUGACACCCCUCUACCACAGCGCCCUGGGGGGUGGGGAUGCCCUCUGCUGUGAGCUGCUUCUCCAUGACCACGCUCAGCUGGGGACCACCGACGAGAAUGGCUGGCAGGAGAUCCACCAGGCCUGCCGCUUUGGGCACGUGCAGCACCUGGAGCACCUGCUGUUCUAUGGGGCAGACAUGGGGGCCCAGAACGCCUCGGGGAACACAGCCCUGCACAUCUGUGCCCUCUACAACCAGGAGAGCUGUGCUCGUGUCCUGCUCUUCCGUGGAGCUAACAGGGAUGUCCGCAACUACAACAGCCAGACAGCCUUCCAGGUGGCCAUCAUCGCAGGGAACUUUGAGCUUGCAGAGGUCAUCAAGACCCACAAAGACUCGGAUGUUGUACCAUUCAGGGAAACCCCCAGCUAUGCGAAGCGGCGGCGACUGGCUGGCCCCAGUGGCUUGGCAUCCCCUCGGCCUCUGCAGCGCUCAGCCAGCGAUAUCAACCUGAAGGGGGAGGCACAGCCAGCAGCUUCUCCUGGACCCUCACUGAGAAGCCUCCCCCACCAGCUGCUGCUCCAGCGGCUGCAAGAGGAGAAAGAUCGUGACCGGGAUGCCGACCAGGAGAGCAACAUCAGUGGCCCUUUAGCAGUCAGGGGCAGCCAGAGCAAGAUCAGCCCGAGCGGGCCCGGCGGCCCCGGCCCCGCGCCCGGCCCCGGCCCCGCGCCCCCUGCGCCCCCCGCACCGCCGCCCCGGGGCCCGAAGCGGAAACUUUACAGCGCCGUCCCCGGCCGCAAGUUCAUCGCCGUGAAGGCGCACAACCCGCAGGGUGAAGGCGAGAUCCCGCUGCACCGCGGCGAGGCCGUGAAGGUGCUCAGCAUUGGGGAGGGCGGUUUCUGGGAGGGAACCGUGAAAGGCCGCACGGGCUGGUUCCCGGCUGACUGCGUGGAGGAAGUGCAGAUGAGGCAGCAUGACACACGGCCUGAAACACGGGAGGACCGGACGAAGCGGCUCUUUCGGCACUACACAGUGGGCUCCUACGACAGCCUCACCUCACACAGCGAUUAUGUCAUUGAUGACAAAGUGGCUGUCCUGCAGAAACGGGACCAUGAGGGCUUUGGUUUUGUGCUCCGGGGAGCCAAAGCAGAGACCCCCAUCGAGGAGUUCACGCCCACGCCAGCCUUCCCGGCGCUGCAGUAUCUUGAGUCGGUGGACGUGGAGGGUGUGGCCUGGAGGGCCGGGCUGCGCACGGGAGACUUCCUCAUCGAGGUGAACGGGGUGAACGUGGUGAAGGUCGGACACAAGCAGGUGGUGGCUCUGAUUCGCCAGGGUGGCAACCGCCUCGUCAUGAAGGUUGUGUCUGUGACAAGGAAGCCAGAAGAGGACGGGGCUCGGCGCAGAGCCCCACCGCCCCCCAAGAGGGCCCCCAGCACCACACUGACCCUGCGCUCCAAGUCCAUGACAGCUGAGCUCGAGGAACUCGCCUCCAUUCGGAGAAGAAAAGGGGAGAAGCUGGACGAGAUGCUGGCAGCCGCUGCAGAGCCAACGCUGAGGCCAGACAUCGCGGACGCAGACUCCAGAGCUGCCACCGUCAAACAGAGGCCCACCAGUCGGAGGAUCACACCCGCCGAGAUUAGCUCAUUGUUUGAACGCCAGGGCCUCCCAGGCCCAGAGAAGCUGCCAGGCUCCUUGCGGAAGGGGAUUCCACGGACCAAGUCUGUAGGGGAGGACGAGAAGCUGGCGUCCCUGCUGGAAGGGCGCUUCCCGCGGAGCACCUCGAUGCAAGACCCGGUGCGCGAGGGUCGCGGCAUCCCGCCCCCGCCGCAGACCGCGCCGCCUCCCCCGCCCGCGCCCUACUACUUCGACUCGGGGCCGCCCCCAGCCUUCUCGCCGCCGCCCCCGCCGGGCCGCGCCUACGACACGGUGCGCUCCAGCUUCAAGCCCGGCUUGGAGGCGCGCCUGGGCGCGGGCGCUGCCGGCCUGUACGAGCCGGGCGCGGCCCUCGGCCCGCUGCCCUAUCCCGAGCGGCAGAAGCGCGCGCGCUCCAUGAUCAUCCUGCAGGACUCGGCGCCCGAGUCGGGCGACGCCCCUCGACCCCCGCCCGCGGCCACCCCGCCCGAGCGACCCAAGCGCCGGCCGCGGCCGCCCGGCCCCGACAGUCCCUACGCCAACCUGGGCGCCUUCAGCGCCAGCCUCUUCGCUCCGUCCAAGCCGCAGCGCCGCAAGAGCCCCCUGGUGAAGCAGCUGCAGGUGGAGGAUGCGCAGGAGCGCGCGGCCCUGGCCGUGGGCAGCCCCGGUCCCGGCGGCGGCAGCUUCGCCCGCGAGCCCUCCCCGACCCACCGCGGGCCGCGCCCGGGCGGCCUCGACUACGGCGCGGGCGAUGGCCCGGGGCUCGCGUUCGGCGGCCCGGGCCCGGCCAAGGACCGGCGGCUGGAGGAGCGGCGCCGCUCCACUGUGUUCCUGUCCGUGGGUGCCAUCGAGGGCAGCGCCCCCAGCGCGGAUCUGCCAUCCCUCCAGCCCUCCCGCUCCAUCGACGAGCGCCUCCUGGGGACCGGCCCCACCGCCGGCCGCGACCUGCUGCUGCCCUCCCCGGUGUCUGCUCUGAAGCCAUUGGUCAGCGGCCCGAGCCUUGGGCCCUCGGGCUCCACCUUCAUCCACCCACUCACCGGCAAACCCCUGGACCCCAGCUCACCCCUGGCCCUUGCCCUGGCUGCCCGAGAGCGAGCUCUGGCCUCCCAGGCGCCCUCCCGGUCCCCCACACCCGUGCACAGUCCCGACGCCGACCGCCCCGGACCCCUGUUUGUGGAUGUACAGGCCCGGGACCCAGAGCGAGGGUCCCUGGCUUCCCCAGCUUUCUCCCCACGGAGCCCGGCCUGGAUUCCUGUGCCUGCUCGCAGGGAGGCAGAGAAGGUCCCCCGGGAGGAGCGGAAGUCGCCCGAGGAUAAGAAGUCCAUGAUCCUCAGCGUCCUGGACACAUCCCUGCAGCGGCCAGCUGGCCUCAUUGUUGUGCACGCCACCAGCAACGGGCAGGAGCCCAGCAGGCUGGGGGGGGCCGAAGAGGAGCGCCCGGGCACCCCGGAGUUGGCCCCGGCCCCCAUGCAGUCAGCGGCUGUGGCAGAGCCCCUGCCCAGCCCCCGGGCCCAGCCCCCUGGUGGCACCCCGGCAGACGCUGGGCCAGGCCAGGGCAGCUCAGAGGAAGAGCCAGAGCUGGUGUUCGCUGUGAACCUGCCACCCGCCCAGCUGUCGUCCAGCGAUGAGGAGACCAGGGAGGAGCUGGCCCGAAUUGGGUUGGUGCCACCCCCUGAAGAGUUUGCCAACGGGGUCCUGCUGGCCACCCCACUUGCUGGCCCGGGCCCCUCGCCCACCACGGUGCCCAGCCCGGCCUCAGGGAAGCCCAGCAGUGAGCCACCCCCUGCCCCUGAGUCUGCAGCCGACUCUGGGGUGGAGGAGGCUGACACACGCAGCUCCAGCGACCCGCACCUGGAGACCACAAGCACCAUCUCCACGGUGUCCAGCAUGUCCACCUUGAGCUCGGAGAGCGGGGAACUCACUGACACCCACACCUCCUUCGCUGACGGACACACUUUUCUACUAGAGAAGCCACCAGUGCCUCCCAAGCCCAAGCUCAAGUCCCCGCUGGGGAAGGGGCCGGUGACCUUCAGGGACCCGCUGCUGAAACAGUCCUCGGACAGCGAGCUCAUGGCCCAGCAGCACCAUGCCGCCUCUGCCGGGCUGGCCUCUGCCGCCGGGCCUGCCCGCCCUCGCUACCUCUUCCAGAGAAGGUCCAAGCUAUGGGGGGACCCCGUGGAGAGCCGGGGACUCCCUGGGCCUGAAGACGACAAACCAACUGUGAUCAGUGAGCUCAGCUCCCGCCUGCAGCAGCUGAACAAAGACACGCGUUCCCUGGGGGAGGAACCAGUUGGUGGCCUGGGCAGCCUGCUGGACCCUGCCAAGAAGUCGCCCAUCGCAGCAGCUCGGUGAGCAGGGCAGUGCGGGGAGGGAUCCGUGCCUUGUCCGUGGCCCCCUCUGUUCUUCCUCUUGUCUGUUCUCUGGCUCUUCUGUUCCUCCUUGUUCUGUUCCAUUCCUUCUGUGGCAACCCCCAACCCGCUCCCGCCAUCCACCUCUGAAUCCAGUCUUGCUUGGCCUACCUGAGAGAGGAGGCUCUUCUGGGCGUCUGACACAUCAGGGUUGCUGCUCACUGUGUCCCUGUUGGUGCCAGAAGUGGGAGCUGGGCUCCCCUCAGAGACUCAGGUUGGGCAUGAGCGCCUCCAUGGCCCUCCUGGAGGCUCUUGGCCCCAGGGAUUCCUGUGGGUUCUCUCUCUCGCUCCCAACGCAGGCUGUCUUUACCAUCAAGGGUUGUUUCGUGUUUUACUUUGGAGGUACGCCUCCCUCCUCCCAUCCUGUCUGUGGCCAUGUGGCUGCCCAGCGUGGCUGAUACCCUCUGCCUUAGAGCUGCCUCCUGCCUUGCUUCCUUUGGCAGCUUGGAGCACACUGACUCCUCUUCUUCUGGGGGAUCUGCCACUAACUUCCUAUUUCCCAUCCCAGAAACAUUUGUCUCUUGGCACCACCUUAGAAUCCCGUAAACAUGGGUUCCCGUGUGUCAUUUCUAAAGUGCAGUAAGAAGGUAGAUGGAAGUCACGCCAUCUCCCUGCACUCCAUCUGCCCUCUUGCCUUCUCCCCACCACUUCCCCCUCUGUCCUGCCCCUACCCAGAAGGAUCUGAGCAGGGGCCUGGCUUGCUGCUGAGGCUGUCACAGCUGCCAGAGCCCUGGGCUGAUCCCAUAGGUCUUUCCUUGACGACCCGACUCCCAAGGCUCCUUCCAAAGAGGAGCCCUUCAGGCCCGUGGGCUGCAUGGAUGCUGGUGGCAGAGCUGGUCAUCCCCCACCCGCCCCCUUGUCUGCCUUUUUAAAGCUGCUUUUGCCUUCUGUGCCCCAGGUCUCCCCUCUCCUCUCUGGGUCUGGGGGGGUGGUACGUGGGUGCCGCCUCUUGACACCUCCUUCUUGCUGCCAGGGAGACCAACCUAGUGGGCCCUGUACUGUCAGCCUCGGAGGACAGAGUUCACAGCGUAGCAACGUGUUCAGAACUUAAGGACUUUGCAGGUCUUACAAAGGCCUGGCCAUUCUACCUUCUUUAGUUCAGGAUUCAAAAGACAGGAGCUUGGGAAGCUCACGAGGCCUCUCCCAAGGUCCCGGGAUGCUGCCUCCAGCUCCUGUCAUCCUGGGGAAUUGCUCUGGGGUCCUCUCCCCUUUUUGCCUUUUCCAACUCCCAGCCAAACUGGAAAGCCCUCUUCCCAGCAGUGCAGUGUUGAAGGUGCCCGUAGAAUGGGUGUUAUAAUCAGAGUGAGCAGCCUGGUCCUAGGCCUCUGUACAGGACCAGGCCCUGAGGCUGGGGUCUCCUGACCCACACCUGACCAGCCCCCAUCUUCCCUCUCUGCUUCUCCCUCCGCUCCUCUUUGCCUCUUGGUCUUGAUGAAAAUCAAAGCCAUUUUAAAAAGUGCAUAGCACAGUGCCUGGCCUGGUUCAGGCCCUCAAUAAACAUUUCUUAAAUGGAUGAAAGAACAAAGCAAAAUGCAAAUGCUGUCUUUUGUGAUUUGAGAUCUAGGGAGGUGGCUUAGGACAAAAACCCACAGAAGGACUUACUCAGCGUUCAGACUCAUCAGGUGUCAAUCCCCCAUGGUCGGGCUCAGGUGGGCCCAGGUCUCGUCAUUGGCCCUGUCCUCUCCUGUGAGGCAGCUGCAGCAGUUGGAGAGCAGGGUCAGGGGAUUCCUCAGCCGGAACCUCUGGCACUUCCCCCUUCUCUGAGUUCAUCCUCCCACAGAGCUCUUUAGCGUUCUGUCUUGAUCAGGGUACGGUUCUCUUAGCCUUGGCUCUGGCUUUCACCAGGACUCUGUUUGUUUUUCUUUCUCAGAUGUGGGAUGGGGAAGGACAAGACCGGCAGCCCUGACCCUUACGUGAUGUCUGUUCUUUUACUCAGUAGUUCCUGCAAAAUUCUGAUCUCUGAUUGGGUUCAUGUGGGUCCUCUGCUUUUCUCUGACUGAUCACUGGGGUCUGGGGACAUAGGGCUUUCAUCAGCCAGGCUUGAGUCCUCUGUUCUCCCAGGAGCCAGGGGGAUGGGUCCGCCCACCUAGCAAGCAGGUGCUGAGAGUGAGGGGAGGGGGCUCUCCAGAUGGAAGUCCAGUGCUGUCCCUGGAGUAACCAGAUGCUGGACAGCCUGUAACAACCAAUGUUCUGUGACACGGCCCCCACUGGCAUCAGCAACUCACUUCCUUGCUGGUCGUUGGCUUGGAGCCAUCAGAGGGCCCUGAUGUCGGUGCUCAGCAGGUCACAGCUUAGUGCUGUAUCCCUCCCCCGUGCAGUGUAUUACAGUGAGCCGACUGCACAGGCUAUCGCGAGGCUGCACACGGCAUCACCUGUGAAGCACCCAGUAGGCCCAGGGCUGGGGCCUGUGGACCCUCACUGGUGUGAGCUGCCAUUGUCUCUGCUGUCACUGACACCCAGGCACUCAGACACCUAGGUGAGGUCUUAGAGUCCUUUGUGGGAAAACAAGCCUGUUGGAUGCAGCAUUGGAGAUGGUCCUGCCAUAUCAGUUUGUCUUCACACCAUUCCAUUAGACGGACCCUAACAGGAUCGUCAUGUUCCAGACAAUGAAACUGAGGUACCAGAGAGUUUCCUUGCAGACAGAAAGCGGUGGUCUGCCUGACCAUAAGCCCUGCUCUCUGGCUGCCGUAAUCGAGGGCCGCUGUUGUUAAACCCCUUCUGAUGACACACAAUGGGCUUUCGCCCAAUAAUCCCCGUCCACAGAAGUGGCAGGUGUGUGCAUCGCACAGACUCACCCCCUCUGUUUACUGGUCAUGUUUGUCAUAAGUAGCACCUGGUGCCACCUGAGUGGCUUACCCGGGCCUGCUUUUCCUUCUCAGUUUGCCUGUGUGUUACCUUCUGUUCCAGCUCACUCUUCCUUUCACCCUCUUGUGCUCCUUCUUGCCCUCAGACCUGGGCUAAACUACAGCCAUCUGGAGGGGGCCCCACUGCCCACCCUGGGCCCUUAACUUCUGGUGCUUCUGGCUGCAGGCAGCGGGGCGGAGCACAGGACACUUGGUGAUGUCUGAGUCCAGUCCUGUUUCAGAUCUGGUCCUUUGUGUGCCCACCGUGGCUGUUGUCAGCUCUUGUCCUGCAGCCCCUAAUAGCUGGAGUCCAGUACUCACUCCUCACUUAGGGAUAAAACUGCUGGUGGAACUGUCUAAAGUGUGGGAGGUUCUGACAUCCAGGUAUGGCUGCUUCCUUCCCAGGGCCAGUCCUGGCAGAGGCACUAGGUCACCCUCAGGGCCAUACCCUGAGCUGUGUCUCCAGCCCCUUGUGUUCCACAGUGUUUGUCUCCCAGGCCCAUCCUUCUCCCUGACUGACACCAUGAGGAAGGGAAUGCCCCACCCACCUUCUCCACAGAUGGCUCAUUCCUGAUGUGCUUUAGCCACAAGGUAUUGUGUGGCCUGAGAGCUUUCUGGGCAAGUUAAGCUGUCCUGUAUGCCAUGGAACCAAAGCUCGGUAACCUGUGGAAAAAUGAUGAGCUCUCGGGCCACCUUUGAUUUUCAGGGGAACCUGGAGGAUGUGGCACUCUCAUGCUGCCUCUGGAAGGUCCAGGACCUUUGGCCUUUGGAAUCCUUGAUCCCAGAUUGUCCACCUGCUCUGUGCUCCCAGCUCCAAGUCUAGCUCUGCUGGACAGACCAUUCAUCUGCCCAGAGCCCCUCCUCGGUCUCUGGGCCCCACACCUGACUCUGAGGCUGCAUUUGGGCAUGAUUCAGACCUGACUCCGAGCCCCACAACUGGCCACAGGCACCCCAUCUGUCUGAGGCUCACACUUGUCUCUGAGACCCUGGCUCCACACCUGGCUCUAAACUCCAUUUGUCUUCCAGGCCCCAUGCUCGGAUCUGAAUCCCAUGUGGGGUCUGAGGUCCAUAGCAAGGCUCACGUCUGCCUUGGCACUUAGAUUUACAUGGGACUCUCACAUCUGGUUUUGUAGGUAAAGUUCAUGGCAAAAUAGCUUUGGAAACACAAAAAGAGGUUCUUUGCUGCAGUACUUCUGGUGCCUUUGACAAGCUUGUGUGGAGGAGGGCACUGUGUGCCAUGGUCUCCAGACCUGUUAGAGUCAGUUCCUAGAUCUCCCAGAAGACCCACAUUCCUCAAAAUGGUCAAGAAACCCUGCCCUGGUGGCCUGCUGCAGACCCUGCCUGCUAAUAUAUUUGUCAGGGCUCUGGACAAAGCACUGUGUGCUUGGUGGAUCACACUGGUAAGCAGGGCCAAGGCCAGCAGGGCCUGCUCUUUUGAAACCCAGACUGAAUGUGUCACAUACCUGCCAGUGGGGGCCCCUGCAGGCCACAUGCAGCUGGGGCAGGUGUGUUCCCAGGAUCCCUGAACCCUGUUCGGGGAGUAGGAAGGAGGUACAGAGGAGGGGAUAUAGGACACUGGGGCCCAUCAGAGCUGGAGCUGGGAACAGGCGGGGUGCUGAGGAGCAAGAUGUGUUACCGCAGAGGAUGCACUGGAAGCUUCAGAGCCCAUGUCUGGUUUUGUGCUCCUCUGAGAAUUAGUUCCCUUAAUGAGGCCCCUAGUUUACAAAAGGCCACAGGCCUAGACCGGCCCCAUGUGAGUGCACCUUAAUGAGGCCCCUAGUUUGCAAAAGGCCACAGGCCUAGACCGGCCCCACGUGAGUGCAGUGGCAGAAGACCCGAGGCAGUAUCCAGGGCCUGAGUGUGGACAUUUUCCUGCUUGUUGGCCCCAGUGGGCUGACUGAGUUGGGCACGCCUGGCAGGGACAUGUCAUCCUAUUUUUGCAUUUCGUUAGUGCAUCUCGUAUUCCUGGCUUUGUGCUAGGUACCAGGAGGCAAGGAGAACUGGUAAGAAGUGGGGUGAAGGGCCUGAGACCAUGAACGGUCUGGAUCCAGAAAUGGCUAGGGGUAAAGAGAAGGUCUGGGUUGAUAUUAGGAGUUAGUCAUUGGCUGUAGGGUAAAAAGAGGAGCUGAUGGUGGCUCCCAGGCUCUGUGUGUGGCAAUGACAGGGUGCCGUUCACUGAGUUGGGGAUGGAGGGACAUGUGUGGAUACUCCAGUAGAGGUGCUGGACUCAUCAGAGACUGUCUGGGUCUCACAUGCAGCAUUCCUGGGCACACUGGCCAUAGCAAAGGGUCUGAGUGGAUAAUGUUGCCCAGGAGAAACUGCAAACUAAGAGGGGAGCUCCGAAAAUCCAUCUAGGAAGGAAGAGGCCUGGGAAAGAAUGUCUCGAAGGGAAACAUGAACAGGUCAGCAGCAGGGUCUUGCUGACGGCCUGGGCAACUGCGGGGCAGAGGGCGGCGUGGGGAGGGUGUGGCAAGGCCAGUCCUCUCUCACUGGCUGAGAGUCACUGGGAAACAGCGAGACGGUGCAGGAUUCAAAUGUAGGUGGAAAGAUGUGGGGCCGUGGGGCCCUCAGCAUGAUCUGGACUCAGCCUCUUCAGGGCGGCUGCUGGAGGUGUUCGUGGGUGAUGGUGCCUGGUGAAGUAUCAUGUGUUAGAGGGUGGGUGGCCCAGAAGCUCUUUGGGAGGCUGGCAGGUGCUGUGAUGUGGCUGUUUGGCGGCCGGAGCCUGGCCAGGGAGGUGGCCAGACAGUGGCUGAGAGUGACGGUGGGUGUGCAGAGAGGCUACGGAAACAUGGAAGUCAGACAUGGACACUGCUUGGAUUUGUGCCCUGGGGAUUGUGUGGGCAGUACCCUGUUCCCCAAGAGAAAGAGGAGAAGCAGACACCUGGGCCGUGGGUGACCCCAGACCCCUCCCUCCUGUGCCCUGGGGACUUUGGCGGGCACAGCCUUCCUUGGGCGUUUUCUCUUGGCCUCCUGACAUCUCCAACAUGCUCUGGGAGGCGGGAGCAAUGUGACUGGCUCUCCUCACAUCUCUUGCCCUCGGGCCCCUGGCUCCGUGGGUGCCUCUGGAGCCAGCCUGCCCUCUGCCCAGGUCUCCAGCUCAGCCCCUGCCAGUACUACCCAGACAGGCACAACUCUGCUCUGCCCAGCUCGGACCUUCUGGAGCCCAGACCCUGCUCUGGGCUCCGGCCGAGCCUCCCGGCUGCGCUGCCCGCGCCUGCCCUGUGCCUCUGCCUUCACUGCUGUGGUCCUGCAACUCAUCAGUGUGCUUCAGUCACACCUGAGACUCCAGGUACACCUGCCAUCACAACUCCAUUGAAAGCUAAGCCUUGGGGCAGGGGCAGGGCCAGGGUAGGUGUCCAUCCUGUGAGACAGGUCCCCAGGCCAGGGCCACUGUGUCGGAGCUGGUGGGUGGAGGUCAGGUGCAUAUUCCUGGUCCUGCUCCUCUCCGGGUGUCCACAGUCAGGUCCCUCUGAGUGAUUCUCUUGGAGUCUCCUCUGGCAAGCCCCUCCAGCAGUCACCACCACCUGGCACCCACCCCCAGGGGACCCCCCGACCCAACACCACCUGGCACCUCCCCUCGGGAACCCCCCAACCCUGGCUGCCUCCCCACUUUGCCCCACUGUGCAGGUGGAUCCAUGGAGGCCAGGUCCAGUGGAAGCAAAGACAGCUUAUUCUGGUGGUUGGUGCCUGUGCUGAGGCCCACCUCAGGUGUUCUUGAAGCCCCUUUCUGUUUGGGGGCACAGUGUGGCCUCUUCAGGAAGUUCUGCUCUGGAUCUGAGCAGCUGGGAGGAGGCAGUAGGGACAGAGGCUGAGGAGAGGAGAGAAAUGAGGUCCCAUGGGAGAGACAGAGCUCAGCUCUCCACAGAGGGUUGGCCUCUCACAGGUGGGGGACAAAAGACGAAACCUGCUUUAAGGGGAGCCCCAUGCCUGUGUGGGGCAGGCACUGGGGAUGCUGUGUGGUGAGGACAGCACAGAGGUUGGGGUGGGGGGACUCAGCCUGGGCAGGGGCAGGGAGAGGGGGUGGGAGGGCCACUGGAGAGGGGCCCGGCCAAAGAGGAUGUCAGGGGCUCAGCACCCCCAGGCGCCAGGCACCUGCCGAGCACUGCAGCCACGCUUGUGGUCCACCUGCACUUGGAGACUCUCGCACAGGCGCCUCUCCUCCACCAGCAGCUCCAGCUUUGUCCCUCCCACAGCAGCUGGGCCCUCUGCACCUGAGUUCCUCCCUCCACACCUGGCUGCCCGUUGUGUGGCUGCAGCUGUGGGUCGCGUGGGCCUGGCCGGCUAACUCUCUCUCUCAUUGCUCUCUCCUGCCCAUCUGCAUGUGGCUGCUCUGUCGAGCUGCGCCGCGGUCCCGAGCGCCGGCUGUGCUCUUCAGCAGCCUCGGUGAGCUGAGCUCCAUUUCAGCGCAGCGCAGCCCCGGGGGCCCGGGCGGCGGGGCCUCGUACUCGG
Pongo pygmaeus (Bornean orangutan) is the source of this 12381-nucleotide RNA transcript. It is a transcript of the gene named SH3 and multiple ankyrin repeat domains 3, with no coding region annotated. NCBI's taxonomy places the organism in Eukaryota, Metazoa, Chordata, Mammalia, Primates, Hominidae. The transcript is spliced from 22 exons. The record is from RefSeq and is a predicted model, not a curated record.